RNAcentral lists this transfer RNA (74 nucleotides) under Cordylochernes scorpioides. Its description in RNAcentral is "tRNA-Thr". It matches the Rfam family "tRNA". Rfam says of the family: Transfer RNA (tRNA) molecules are approximately 80 nucleotides in length. Their secondary structure includes four short double-helical elements and three loops (D, anti-codon, and T loops). Further hydrogen bonds mediate the characteristic L-shaped molecular structure. tRNAs have two regions of fundamental functional importance: the anti-codon, which is responsible for specific mRNA codon recognition, and the 3' end, to which the tRNAs corresponding amino acid is attached (by aminoacyl-tRNA synthetases). tRNAs cope with the degeneracy of the genetic code in two manners: having more than one tRNA (with a specific anti-codon) for a particular amino acid; and 'wobble' base-pairing, i.e. permitting non-standard base-pairing at the 3rd anti-codon position. The record is from RNAcentral. Lineage: Eukaryota; Metazoa; Arthropoda; Arachnida; Pseudoscorpiones; Chernetidae.
UCCAGGGUAGACGAGUGGACAAAGGCACCUGCCCGGUAAGCAGAAGGGUGUGGGUUCGAUUCCCGCCCCUGGAC